Mya arenaria is the source of this 710-nucleotide long non-coding RNA. RefSeq lists it as uncharacterized. NCBI's taxonomy places the organism in Eukaryota, Metazoa, Mollusca, Bivalvia, Myida, Myidae. The record is from RefSeq and is a predicted model, not a curated record. The transcript has 4 exons.
UGGCGAUUCUAGGUCUAACAGGAGCGGGAAAAUCUUCUUUCAUCAAUUCAGUGUUUACGGCACUGGAUGGGGAGUACUCAAAUAUUGUUAACACCAAAGCAUCUACCGCUACUGGAAGGGGAACGGAACGUGUGAACGCAGUCCGAUUGAAGUCACAUAAUUUACUCCAUGAUGUUGUCUUUAUUGACACAAAAGGAAUACAGACAGAUGGCAAAGGGAUCGGAAAAGAUGAGCUCCGAAAUGUUUGUAACGGAGAAUUUAGCAUAAGAAUUGAGCAUGCCCGAACCAAAGGCUGGACCAAAUACAAACCAAACUGUGUCAUAAUUGUUAUAGAUGUUAGUCAAUUGAAAGAAUUGACCCACGAAAAAAACUCGGUCGUUACGCGAGAGCUACAAAGUAUUUUUGACUGCGUCCCUGGAGUCGCCCCCCUUGGAGUACAAGAGAAUAUCCAGCCGUCAUUAAAUGCGUUAUAAAAAGCAAGGGUAUUGCAAAAACACGUGAUUCAAAGAAUGUCCAUGGAUGUAUUUUAUACUUUUGCAGAACGAUAUAAAAUAAAUCUAUUUUAGACUUUAGCAAUACUUGAUCACAACUGAAUUCCUUCAAAACAUAUUGCACUAAAAUAAUCAAGAUUAUACAAGAUUUAAUGAAAAACGUGUUGCAUAGUAUGUUCAAUUAGGUGCACAAGUCCCAUGUUGAGAAUUGUGCUAAUU